Molecule: ribosomal RNA, 1542 nt
Filed under: Salmonella enterica subsp. enterica serovar Senftenberg
Lineage: Bacteria; Pseudomonadati; Pseudomonadota; Gammaproteobacteria; Enterobacterales; Enterobacteriaceae
Also listed under: 5 other names
Description: bacterial SSU rRNA
Rfam family: Bacterial small subunit ribosomal RNA
Source: RNAcentral
AAAUUGAAGAGUUUGAUCAUGGCUCAGAUUGAACGCUGGCGGCAGGCCUAACACAUGCAAGUCGAACGGUAACAGGAAGCAGCUUGCUGCUUUGCUGACGAGUGGCGGACGGGUGAGUAAUGUCUGGGAAACUGCCUGAUGGAGGGGGAUAACUACUGGAAACGGUGGCUAAUACCGCAUAACGUCGCAAGACCAAAGAGGGGGACCUUCGGGCCUCUUGCCAUCAGAUGUGCCCAGAUGGGAUUAGCUUGUUGGUGAGGUAACGGCUCACCAAGGCGACGAUCCCUAGCUGGUCUGAGAGGAUGACCAGCCACACUGGAACUGAGACACGGUCCAGACUCCUACGGGAGGCAGCAGUGGGGAAUAUUGCACAAUGGGCGCAAGCCUGAUGCAGCCAUGCCGCGUGUAUGAAGAAGGCCUUCGGGUUGUAAAGUACUUUCAGCGGGGAGGAAGGUGUUGUGGUUAAUAACCACAGCAAUUGACGUUACCCGCAGAAGAAGCACCGGCUAACUCCGUGCCAGCAGCCGCGGUAAUACGGAGGGUGCAAGCGUUAAUCGGAAUUACUGGGCGUAAAGCGCACGCAGGCGGUCUGUCAAGUCGGAUGUGAAAUCCCCGGGCUCAACCUGGGAACUGCAUUCGAAACUGGCAGGCUUGAGUCUUGUAGAGGGGGGUAGAAUUCCAGGUGUAGCGGUGAAAUGCGUAGAGAUCUGGAGGAAUACCGGUGGCGAAGGCGGCCCCCUGGACAAAGACUGACGCUCAGGUGCGAAAGCGUGGGGAGCAAACAGGAUUAGAUACCCUGGUAGUCCACGCCGUAAACGAUGUCUACUUGGAGGUUGUGCCCUUGAGGCGUGGCUUCCGGAGCUAACGCGUUAAGUAGACCGCCUGGGGAGUACGGCCGCAAGGUUAAAACUCAAAUGAAUUGACGGGGGCCCGCACAAGCGGUGGAGCAUGUGGUUUAAUUCGAUGCAACGCGAAGAACCUUACCUGGUCUUGACAUCCACGGAAGAAUUCAGAGAUGGAUUUGUGCCUUCGGGAACCGUGAGACAGGUGCUGCAUGGCUGUCGUCAGCUCGUGUUGUGAAAUGUUGGGUUAAGUCCCGCAACGAGCGCAACCCUUAUCCUUUGUUGCCAGCGGUCCGGCCGGGAACUCAAAGGAGACUGCCAGUGAUAAACUGGAGGAAGGUGGGGAUGACGUCAAGUCAUCAUGGCCCUUACGACCAGGGCUACACACGUGCUACAAUGGCGCAUACAAAGAGAAGCGACCUCGCGAGAGCAAGCGGACCUCAUAAAGUGCGUCGUAGUCCGGAUUGGAGUCUGCAACUCGACUCCAUGAAGUCGGAAUCGCUAGUAAUCGUGGAUCAGAAUGCCACGGUGAAUACGUUCCCGGGCCUUGUACACACCGCCCGUCACACCAUGGGAGUGGGUUGCAAAAGAAGUAGGUAGCUUAACCUUCGGGAGGGCGCUUACCACUUUGUGAUUCAUGACUGGGGUGAAGUCGUAACAAGGUAACCGUAGGGGAACCUGCGGUUGGAUCACCUCCUUA